GACAGUAUGCCAGAGUGGUUAAUGGGUGAGACUCGAACUUAUCUGAGUUAUCUCAUGGGCUUUGCCCGCGCAGGUUCAAAUCCUGCUGCUGUCG
Dispira parvispora is the source of this 94-nucleotide non-coding RNA. Lineage: Eukaryota; Fungi; Kickxellomycota; Dimargaritomycetes; Dimargaritales; Dimargaritaceae. The record is from the annotation of a GenBank genome assembly.